UACGGAGGGAGCUAGCGUUGUUCGGAAUUACUGGGCGUAAAGCGCACGUAGGCGGCUUUGUAAGUUAGAGGUGAAAGCCUGGGGCUCAACUCCAGAAUUGCCUUUAAGACUGCAUCGCUCGAAUCAUGGAGAGGCGGGUGGAAUUCCGAGUGUAGAGGUGAAAUUCGUAGAUAUUCGGAAGAACACCAGUGGCGAAGGCGGCCCGCUGGACAUGUAUUGACGCUGAGGUGCGAAAGCGUGGGGAGCAAACAGG
This 253-nucleotide ribosomal RNA is filed under the name uncultured bacterium. RNAcentral's name for it is "partial 16S ribosomal RNA". It matches the Rfam family "Bacterial small subunit ribosomal RNA", at positions 524 to 776 of the family's 1533-position model. The record is from RNAcentral.